UUCCGGUUGAUCCUGCCGGACCUGACUGCUAUCGGAUUGAUACUAAGCCAUGCGAGUCUUUGCAGUAAUGCAAGGCAUACGGCUCAGUAACACGUAGUCAACUUACCCUAUGGACGAGGAUAAUCUCGGGAAACUGAGCAUAAUACUCGAUAGAUCAUAAUGCCUGGAACGGUUUAUGGUUGAAAUGAUUCGUCGCCAUAGGAUGGGACUGCGGCCUAUCAGCUUGUUGGUGAGGUAAUGGCCCACCAAGGCGAUUACAGGUACGGGCUCUGAGAGGAGAAGCCCGGAGAUGGGUACUGAGACAAGGACCCAGGCCCUAUGGGGCGCAGCAGGCGAGAAAACUUUGCAAUGUGCGAAAGCACGACAAGGUUAAUCCGAGUGAUUUCUGCUAAAGAAAUCUUUUGCAAGUCAUAAAACCACUAGUGAAUAAGGGGUGGGCAAGUUCUGGUGUCAGCCGCCGCGGUAAAACCAGCACCUCAAGUGGUCAGGAGGAUUAUUGGGCCUAAAGCAUCCGUAGCCGGCUCUGUAAGUUUUCGGUUAAAUCCAUGUGCUCAACGCAUGGGCUGCCGAAAAUACUGCAGAACUAGGGAGUGGGAGAGGUAGACGGUACUCGGUAGGAAGGGGUAAAAUCCUUUGAUCUAUCGAUGACCACCUGUGGCGAAGGCGGUCUACCAGAACACGUUCGACGGUGAGGGAUGAAAGCUGGGGGAGCAAACCGGAUUAGAUACCCGGGUAGUCCCAGCUGUAAACGAUGCAGACUCGAUGAUGCAAUGGCAUAGAGCUAUUGCAGUAUCGCAGGGAAGCCGUUAAGUCUGCCGCCUGGGAAGUACGUACGCAAGUAUGAAACUUAAAGGAAUUGGCGGGGGAGCACCACAAGGGGUGAAGCCUGCGGUUCAAUUGGAUUCAACGCCGG
Molecule: ribosomal RNA, 913 nt
Filed under: uncultured marine archaeon
Lineage: Archaea
Description: bacterial SSU rRNA
Rfam family: Archaeal small subunit ribosomal RNA
Source: RNAcentral